RNAcentral lists this ribosomal RNA (492 nucleotides) under uncultured bacterium. RNAcentral's name for it is "partial 16S ribosomal RNA". It matches the Rfam family "Bacterial small subunit ribosomal RNA", at positions 29 to 507 of the family's 1533-position model. The record is from RNAcentral.
AGUGAACGCUGGCGGUAGGCCUAACACAUGCAAGUCGAACGGCAGCACAGUAAGAGCUUGCUCUUACGGGUGGCGAGUGGCGGACGGGUGAGGAAUACAUCGGAAUCUACUUUUUCGUGGGGGAUAACGUAGGGAAACUUAUGCUAAUACCGCAUACGACCUACGGGUGAAAGCAGGGGAUCUUCGGACCUUGCGCGAUUGAUUGAGCCGAUGUCGGAUUAGCUAGUUGGCUGGGUAAAGGCCCACCAAGGCGACGAUCCGUAGCUGGUCUGAGAGGAUGAUCAGCCACACUGGAACUGAGACACGGUCCAGACUCCUACGGGAGGCAGCAGUGGGGAAUAUUGGACAAUGGGCGCAAGCCUGAUCCAGCCAUACCGCGUGGGUGAAGAAGGCCUUCGGGUUGUAAAGCCCUUUUGUUGGGAAAGAAAAGCAGCAGAUUAAUACGCCGCUGUUCUGACGGUACCCAAAGAGUAAGCACCGGCUAACUUCGUG